GGGCCGGCGGUGGCGCGCGCGUGCGCGUGCGCGCGAGGCAGCUGCAGGUCCACGGCCGGACGGUAGAGGCCUCCCUUCUGAGGAGGCGGCGCGGCCGCAACCGGCUGGGGCUCUGCUCCCCAGCUCGCGGGUCCUUCCCGACGGAGUCCCUGCGCGGCCCGACCCAGUGCAUAGAAGCAACUAAAAAACAAAUAUGUGUUUGAGCCCCAGAGAGAUUAUGUGGCUUCAUAAAGAUAGUAUGGCUGGUCAGCUGUCUCCACUCCUGAGGUCAUCACUCAUCAAGAGGGGAUAAUCCCAAGGACAGCAGGAUCUGCUUCGUCACUUGGAUUUAGGAGUGAGAAACCCAUCAGGCAACUAAACAGUAACAAUGACCCGCCAUUAAACACACUGAGAGAAGAGCAUGAUGAGGAGAUUGUACAAGAAGAAUCCCAGGGCUCUUGCUGACAACGCCUAUGGAGUCACUGACCACUGUGAGCUCUGCCCAUUGAACUGCAGUGAAAAAUCUCCCCCUCCCCAGAGAUGCUUGGAUGUGGGCACAGUAUCAGUUCAGACAAUGGUCUUUGCUUGGAUUUAGAGUGGAAAGAAUUUGUGCUGUGGGGUAAAAAGACCUGGGUCUGAACUGUCACUCUGCCACUUCUGUGUAGUAUGCUUUGGCAACAUUAAAAAAAAAUCUCUCUGAGCCUCGGUUUUUCUUGUCUGCAAAAUGGAGCAAAUACCGACACAGAGGGCUUUUAAGAGGACCAAAUACAACAGUGUUUGAAAAGCACAAGCUAGGUACUUCGCUUUAUGGAAAAAGAGCAAGAUGUGGGGCCAAAAAAGAAACUGGCAUACACAAAAAAUAUUUUCUCAAAAUUAUUUUUUGUCCAAGGCACUCCACCUCAGAAGGUAUGCUUAUUUUUUACCUUAGAUACCAGGAGGGAAGAGAGAGAGGAUGGGGAAAGUCAGAUUCUAGCUCUUACACAAGAAAAUUCACUCUAUAUAAUUUUCCGACAAUGUUGCUGUCCUUCCUCAAACACUGGGGCCACAGGCAUCAUGCCAAAGAAGUCAGCAGCCUGGAAGAUAUUUUAAACUGACUCUGGGACUGAACGACAGGCCAUUUGCUCCAUAUGCCACUGACGCGUUAAUCUAGGCAAGGCUGCUAGGCACCUGGGGACAUCCAUGCUAAAAUGCCAUUUAGGCGGGGUGCACCCAGUACAGUGGCAGAAGUUCAUCAGCACAAACCAUGAGGGCAGCCAAGAGGAUAGAAGUGGCAAGGAAGAGUGAGAAGGAGGUGCACUCUCUAAGCCUGGAAAGAUUUUCUGAGUUGCAGACACUUCAUUAUGCUUCUAGGAGAGCUGCAGAUUCAACAAAACAUCAAAACUGGGUAUUUACAAUCUGGACAAAUGAGUACCUGCUACUUUUGCACCCAUUAUACCACGUGGCCGCCAACCCCAUGACCCUUCUAUCCACUGGCAAAUACUGGGCGACGCUCUAGUCUACUAGAAUGACCUCCUUUAUCCCUGCAGUUUCGUCAUAAAAAGCAAGUGGCUGCUGAGCGACUAUAGUAGAUGCCCCAGUGUCAGACUUCCCAGGAUCCAAUUUGGUGGGAGGACUCUGGGCCUUUGGUCUCCUUCUUCCUUUUGCCCAGCCCUGUUUCUUGGUUACUCUGAGCAGUAAUGAGCUUCUCUACCCCAGCAUGAGGACAGGCUCACAGCUAGCACAUGAAAAAGGCUGAGCUCGUGUGGGGCAACUACUCUAUUUCAUGGGCAGAUCACACAUCUGUUUUUUCCCUUCUUCUGCAAUGCAACUACACUAAUGAUUUUUUUUUUUUUAAGUAGGAAUAAGGCAGUGCUAUGGCUUUCUGAGAAAAAAACAGUCACAUGGCGGGAUAAUUGCAACAGACAUCAUAAAAGGAGCUAGAAUGAAAUGCCCACCCAUUCUUGUCUUUGGAGCAAAUGAUUUCCAAGAGCAAAAGUCUCGUUCUAAACUGGGGGAUGUUAAUAAACAAAUAGAAUCACUGCCCUAAUUAUUUUCUUUCAGGCAAAUUAAACUUCUGAAAAAAUCAGCUUUUCCUGUUAAUGUUAGCUAUUUUUCAUAAUCAGAUGAAUCUGAAAGAUUAUAAAAAUCAGAUUAGGCCACCAAAGAAUGAGAGUUCUCCCAGAGUUCUCUGUGGCAAAUAGCUCAGAGUUGUCAUUGUUGAGGAUGGGCUCUGGGAACAGCCCAUGAUUCAAGUCCAGAGCUCUGUCCCUUAUUCAUUAAUGAGCACUGGCAACUUACUCAACACUCCCUACCAAGUCUCUGUUUCUUCAUCUGUAAACUUGUACAGUGUAACCCCACCUUCCAGGGCUGUUAUGAGAAUUCUUAGAGUAGAUUUGUUUGUAGUGAGGAGCAUACUUUCUGGCAUGUGGUCAGGGGAUCUGUGGUAAAGUCAUAGAGCUGAUCUUGGGAACCACAUGUCACUUCUGUUUUUCAGUAGAGCGACAUUAUCUCUGUGUGUUCUUAGCAAAGACCAAAUGGAUGUUUUAAUCGUAAAAUAAUAGGUAUUUUCUGAGCCUUCACCACUAGACCCAGUGGGCUUUAUUAUGCAUUAUAAAAGAUUUGUAAGAAGUAGAAGAGGUUUGGGGCGCCUGGGUGGCUCAGUCGGUUGGGCGGCUGACUUUGGCUCAGGUCAUGAUCUCACUCAUGGCUCAUGACUUCGAGCCCCGCGUUGGGCUCUGUAGUGACAGCUCAGAGCCUGGAUCCUGCAUUGGAUUCUGUGUCUCCCUCUCUCUUUGCCCCUCCCCUGCUCAUGCUCUGUGUCUCUCUCUCUCUCUCAAAAAUAAACAUUAAAAAAUUUUUAAAAAAAGUAGAAGAGGUUUUUUUGUUUCUUUGUUUGUUUGUUUCUUGGCUCAGGAGUAGCUUAAAAUCAGCCAGGAAGGACAGUGACACAAAUUUUAAUCCAAAACCCAAUGUUUGGCAACUCUAUCUUAAAUGAGAUCCAUCUUAAAACCCAUGUUAAAUGAGAUCCUUACACCUUACUGCAGUAGUCCUUACCUUGUCUUCUUGCACCCAUCCUUGACCCCCGUAUAGCCAAUUCACAGAGCACUCAUAUCUUCUCAAAAUUUGCUGACUGCUCCCUAUUUUACAUAGAAUGAAAUUCAAAGUCUUCACUCCCAUGCCCUUCAUGGUCUGGGUUCCAGUUACCUUCCUGAGUAUAUCUCUUAUUGCGCUCUCCUUUGUUCACUCCCCUUCAGCAAUACUAGCCUCGUUAAUUGCACCAACUAUGCUCCUGCUUCAGAACCUCUGGACUUGCUAAUGUCUCUCUGGAAUGUUCUUCCCUAUGUAUUCAUAUGGCUUGCUCUUCUACUUUAAAUUUCUGUUCAAAUGUCACAUAAUCAGAGAAGGCUUCCUUGACCACUCUUUUUAAAUAAUCACCCCACCCUGCUAUUCUCUAUCCCCUCAUUCUGCUUUAUUUUUCUUCACAGAGCCGUCAAGACUUGAUAUAGGGAGGUUAAUGUGGGGACACCUGGCUGGCUCAGUCAGUGGAGGAUGCAACUCUCGGACUCGUGCCCUCCUCAGUGCCCGUCACUCCUAUGAGAAGAAUUUAAAUCAAGAUUCAAAGGACCAAAAAGAAAACACAAUCUACAGAGAUACAAGCAUUCAAACGCCAAACCAAAAGAUUGCCAAUGCAGCACAGUACGUCUCCAGCUGAAGGACACCUAGUACAACACUCCAGAAUUGCACGUGGAAUAACAUUUCAUCAAAAGCACAGCCAAAGUUGUUCAUGUUUUUCCUAGAAUGUGACCCUGAAUCUGUUCACCAAGUGAGAGCUGGGAAUUCUAGAGGCCUGAGUGAGUGUGUGCUCUGUAUGCACAUACAUAAGAAUAAUACUUGCUGAUAAAUCUGGUAAAAUCUGAA
Molecule: long non-coding RNA, 3876 nt
Organism: Acinonyx jubatus (cheetah)
Lineage: Eukaryota; Metazoa; Chordata; Mammalia; Carnivora; Felidae
Exons: 4
Source: RefSeq, a predicted model, not a curated record